Hibiscus syriacus is the source of this 169-nucleotide long non-coding RNA. RefSeq lists it as uncharacterized. NCBI's taxonomy places the organism in Eukaryota, Viridiplantae, Streptophyta, Magnoliopsida, Malvales, Malvaceae. The record is from RefSeq and is a predicted model, not a curated record. The transcript is spliced from 3 exons.
GUUCAGGUCAGUUAAUUGAAUGUUGCAUUUAAGUACCAAUAUAAGAUAUGAUGCUAUUGCUUGGUUUGGGUGUAACAUACUUCUUCAAUGGCAACUUGUUUGAACUGCUCGGUGAGGCUUGAACCGGUUUCAAAAUCUCGAACGAGCAGAUAAGAUCUUCGUCGACGCU